UUAAAUACUAUGAAGGAAAGAGUAAUAAAUUGGUUUUGUUCAAAGAGAGCCGACAAUUUGGUGAAAGUCGGAAACAAAAUGAUUUAUGAAUAUGGCUCUGGAGUAUACCAUUUGAAAUAGUAGAAUUAGUAAUUAGGAUGGUACGGCAGCAACCGUUAUAUUGAAAAGUAAUGUUAGUUACUUAUAGAGGUCUUUAUUGUGAGAUAAAGAUGAAAUAGAGUGGUAAAGCGUAUUUUAUGCCUCUAUA
This 247-nucleotide non-coding RNA is filed under the name Clostridium kluyveri. RNAcentral's name for it is "T-box sequence". It matches the Rfam family "T-box leader". Rfam says of the family: Uncharged tRNA acts as the effector for transcription antitermination of genes in the T-box leader family. T-boxes are found upstream of many aminoacyl-tRNA synthetase genes and some amino acid biosynthetic genes usually in Gram-positive bacteria. The record is from RNAcentral. Lineage: Bacteria; Bacillati; Bacillota; Clostridia; Eubacteriales; Clostridiaceae.